RNAcentral lists this unclassified non-coding RNA (336 nucleotides) under soil metagenome. Its description in RNAcentral is "partial contains 5.8S ribosomal RNA, internal transcribed spacer 2, and large subunit ribosomal RNA". The stretch from base 1 to 120 matches the Rfam family "5.8S ribosomal RNA", at positions 35 to 154 of the family's 154-position model. The record is from RNAcentral.
GAUGAAGAACGCAGCGAAAUGCGAUAAGUAGUGUGAAUUGCAGAAUUCAGUGAAUCAUCGAAUCUUUGAACGCACAUUGCGCCCCUUGGUAUUCCAUGGGGCAUGCCUGUUCGAGCGUCAUUUGUACCUUCAAGCUUUGCUUGGUGUUGGGUGUUUGUCUCGCCUUUGCGUGUAGACUCGCCUUAAAAUAAUUGGCAGCCGGCGUAUUGAUUUCGGAGCGCAGUACAUCUCGCGCUUUGCACUCAUAACGACAGCGUCCAAAAGUACAUUUUACACUCUUGACCUCGGAUAAGGUAGGGAUACCCGCUGAACUUAAGCAUAUCAAUAAGCGGAGGA